AAUGUUUUUGUUCAUGGUGUAAUAAUUGAUAAUUUUGGUUCAUGUGAAGUAGGGAAUGGUGUUGUUGCACGAAAUAAAGGAAUGGAGGUUGAAGAGCGUCAGAUACAGAGGCUUUGUUUCACGGGUGGAGAAUAUUG
RNAcentral lists this transfer RNA (137 nucleotides) under Arabidopsis thaliana (thale cress). Lineage: Eukaryota; Viridiplantae; Streptophyta; Magnoliopsida; Brassicales; Brassicaceae. The record is from RNAcentral.